Molecule: RNA transcript, 5121 nt
Organism: Capsicum annuum
Lineage: Eukaryota; Viridiplantae; Streptophyta; Magnoliopsida; Solanales; Solanaceae
Gene name: transmembrane 9 superfamily member 2
Exons: 6
Source: RefSeq, a predicted model, not a curated record
GUUUUGUCUGAUCUUUGCUUUAAUCUUCUUUAAUUUUUUUCUAAUUUCUCAAUAUAUAGAGAAGUGAAGAGCUUCAGAAAGUUUGUUAUGCAUGAAUGUAGUUGUGAAAUUGAGGUAUAUAAGGAUGAACAAAUAGAUUUUUUAAUCUACUUUCUGUAUUUGUUUUUCCUGUUUUGUGGUAGAUUUUCUUCUUCUUAUCUUGUCUUUGACUAUUUUGCGUUGAUUUCAUUUAGUUUUUUCAUUAUAGUCGCUUGAGAAGAGCGACUUUAUUGACCCGAAAGUUUAACAUGGCUUUUUGCCUUCAUGUAUUUGAGAAAAUUCCUCAACAAAUCAGGGUUUUCAUUAGAUUUCUAUUACAUAUUUUCUUGUUAAUUUGUUGCUUCUCUCAUGCCUUUGAGUAGCAUAGCAAAAAUUUAAGUAAAUUCGUCUUACAAUUAAAUUUAUCAUGUAUUUUCAUGGCUUUUCGAUUUUGUAUUUGAUUGGGAGAAGUCUUUAAUGAACCAUAAAAAAUGCACCUUUAGUCUAUCAGUAGCUUCCAAUAGGUUUCCUCUAAAGGUCGUUUUCUCUUCUGCUCGUAAGCGUUUGGAUAAUACUAACAAACAUUUUAUAAUUUGUCAGAGUAGAUGAUACUUGAUUUCUCUUCUUCAUUUACCACAAUUUAAGAGGAUUAUUAACAAAGAUAUAGGUUAGUUAUAUUGACAAAGAUAAUUAUAACAGAAGCUGUAGCAUAUAGAGUUAUGGAAAGGUGUUUGUUGGUCUUAUAGAGUUGUUUUUUUAACUAAGAAGUUCAUAUAGUCUUCUAUUAUGUUUUGUCAUCGCUGCAUAGAUGACUCACCGGUAAAGUCUCUUUAUUUACAUGACAGAUUUAGAGGACAUGGAACUGCAGACUGUUUUUUUUUUUUUUUACUUUAAAGCAAAUGAAGGCUGUCACUAGGCGUUCUCUAUAUUCGAACCUUGGACUCCAAUAAUUGAAUUUCGUGUUGUGGGUAUUUUAUAUCUAUCUGUGUGUAUUGAAUUGACCGAAAAUUUGAACUAAAAGUUGCUUUUGGAGUAGUGAAAAUGUGGUUAAAAUUAAGGUGAAGGAAUCUAGAUUGUAGGUCAAGUGCUUGAUGAAGGUAACGCCAGGGCUUUCAUUUGAUUGUCCAGAAAAACAUGAAUUUUCCGAUGGAAAUUUACUCUCGACAUCUACUUCUCGGUAAUCUCUAUAAAGUUUGAUCAUUGAGCUACACAUCUAAAGUUGUGCUGAAUGAUUAGAAUGAUGGAAAAGUUUAGAAUUUCAUUGUCCCUCCACCCUCUUAUUCUGCGAAAAAUUGGUGUGUUAUGCGUUAGAUGAUUUCACGAUAAACUAUGCUAACGACUACAAGUCAAAUCUUUGAUGGAAAGAUUAAUAUACCCAAGUUAUAUAACUUUGAUCUUGAUAUUCAACGCCACACUAAGGUAAGAAGACGCGAGAGGUUGACGAUAGUGUAGUAUUUAAAGAGGAAUAGAGAGGAGAAUAGAGGUCUCCUCUGCUUCUCCGACUUCUUCAGCAGCUGCUGAAGGUAAUAGUUCUUUCAAUGUCUCAUGAUUUUCCCUUAAUCAGUAUUCCCAUCUUUAGUUCAUGUUAUUUUUCAUAUAUUUCUCUUUUUCUUCUUUUGAUUGUCUUUGAUUUUUGUUAUUUCUAAUUUUGUUGUAGAGGAUUUAAUAAAGCUCUGUUGUGUCUUUUCUUUUGAUCAGAUAUAGUUACUUUCUCCUUGGCGACGAAUCGGUUGUCAACUCCUCAAACUAAUAGCUAUUGGAAUUAAUUCCUUAGAAUUCUAAAGUUAGUUUCGAGCUAUGAAAAAAUUCAGGACAAUUUUUAUUUUGUUGAUGGCGCUUGUCGGGGUAUUUUAUCCUUACAAAAGAGGAGCUCUAUAUACUGCCUUGCUGGUUAUAUAUGCACUCACUUUUGGCGUUGCCGGAUACACUUCAACCUCUUUCUAUUGUCAGCUCGAAGGAACUAAUUGGGUAAAGAAUCUGGUAUGGACCGGGUGCCUCUUCUGUGUCCCUCUCGCAUUAACAUUCUGCUUCCUCAAUUCGGUUGCAGUUAGUUAUAGUUCUACUGCUGCGCUACCAUUUGGUACAAUUAUGUUAAUAGUACUCAUGUGGACAUUAGUGACAUCGACACUACUUGUAUUAGGCGGAAUUGCUGUCAAAAAUAGCAGUACGGGCUUCCAAUUUCCAUGUCGGACCACAAAGAAUCCGAGAGAAAUUCCAGUACUCCCUUGGUACCAUAGUACCAUCCCUCAGAUGGUGAUGACAGGAUUCUUACCGUUUAAUGCCAUAUACAUCGAGUUCUAUUACAUAUUCGAAAGUGUAUGGGGUCAAAAGAUUUACACAAUUUACAGAAUAUUGUUUAUAGUCUUCAUUCUUCUGCUGAUAGUAACCGCCAUUGUCACUGUUGCAUCAACUUAUUUCCAACUUGCCACAGAAGAUCAUAAAUGGUGGUGGAGGUCAUUUCUCUGUGGUGGACUCUUCAAAAAUGUUGACAUAUACAUGUCGUGUCCUCUAGAAGUAGUGCAUUUUUGGAGGAUCUGACAUGGCCGCAACAACAUAGCUUGCAGUUAUAACCAAACAAAGUUGAAGGGGAGCCUUGGAGUAACUGGUAAAGUUGCUGCCAUGUGACCAGGAGGUCACGGGUUCAAGCCUUGGAAACAGCCUCUGGCAAAAAUGCAAGGUAAGGCUGCGUACGAUACACCCUUGUGGUGGGGCCCUUCCCCGGACACCGUGCAUAGCGGUAGCUUUAGUGCACCGGGCUGCCCUUUUUUUAGUUAUAACCAAAGUAAGUAAAUUUUCUGGUGUUAUAUAUUGGAUAAUAGCAACCGAAAUAGGACUCUUAACGACCAAAUUUUCCCUUGCUAAAAGCCUUAUUUCUUGUAGCUUUACUUACAUCGUCGCAGGUCAUUUAUCUGUGGCGGACUCGUCAAAAAUGUUGUCAGAUACAUGUCGUCUCCUCUAGAAGUAGUGCAUUUUUAGAGGAUCUGACAUGAGUGCAACAACAUUUUUGGAGAAACCGAGCAAUAUAUAGCUUGCAGUUAUAACCAUACAAAGUUCAUUUUCUGGUGUUGUAUAUUGGCUAACAGCAACCAAAAUAGGACUCUUAACGACCAAAUUUUCCCUCGCUAAAAACCUUGUUUCUUGCAGUUUUACUUACAUCGUCGCAGGUCAUUUCUCUGUGGCGGACUCUUCAAAAAUGUUGUCAGGUACAUGUCGUCUCCUCUAGAAGUAGUGCAUUAAAAUUUUUUGGACUGAAAAGAGAGUUGGUGACGAUCAAGGACAGAUUUGGAAUUUCACUUCUAUCUUAAUAGUUAAGAGUAUUUUUAAUAUUUCAUACAACAAUAUAUCUAUACAUACUCUAGCACAUGUGGAGGGUGUUUGGUGAUCCAGUUUUUAAAUUCUGAUUGGAACUAUUAAAAGGGGUAUGAAGGAGGUUAUGUACUAUUCCCAAGAGCUGAUACUUGCUAAGAAGAUAGGAAAAAUGAACAUCCUAGCACCAAAAAUUCAACUUCUUAUUCCUGGGAAUAGUCAGCAAACUACAACCUUUUUGGAUUUAAUGCACUUCUAGUGACUAGAGCGCUCUCUCUCUCUCUCUCUCUCUAAAAUAAUGAUAUGUUUAUCUAUCAGAGAAGGCUAUAUCUUUUUCUUGUUAAACUAAUUUGGUGUGAAUGUUCGUGUAUUUUCUAAUGUCCAGAUGUACUAAAAGCAUGCCACUUCGGAGGUAGCUGGUCCCUUUGGCAUCCUUGAGUGAUCUGCUUAUUAAUUUAAUUGGUUGGUAACAGAUGCAUAUAUAUAUAUAUCUAUGGAUAGUUUGGGAAGGAUUCCAACUACAUUAUAGAUGUGAUGUAACAAUAUUUACUUGGAAUAGAUAAAGGGCACGUUCAUACAUAUAAACCUGAGUUCAUUUGUUUGUUGGGAUUGUGAUUUUGGCCAGUGUAUGUGGCAUGGAAUUGGUUUGGGAUAUGCUCAUUAAUGAAAGGGAUCCUUAAUGAAAGUUGCAAACUACUAUGUGAAUGCUUAAUUAACUUGGAAAUUUCUGUGAAAGCUCCCUUGUACUUGAUGCCUUUCCCGCCUUUACUGAUGUUAAAAUGUGCACUAUGUUGUUUCGUGUGCAUGUGGAAUUUCUAUAAUACUAUGCCUGAUGGUUGAAUCGUUGUUGUGUCUUGUACGUAAUUAUAGUUCCUUAACCACUAUGGGUAAUUAACUCUUAUCACUUGAUGACUAAAUACAGUAUGACUGUAAUAGUAGUCAAAGUGCUGAUUUAUUUGCCUGGAAUGAUUCUUCUUGCAUACUUUAGGUUCCUUGUCUGUAACUUCUGCUGUGGUUAUUGUUUAUUGUACAGUGUCAGGCAGUUAGUCCAACACCAGUUAUGCCAUCUGGAAGACGCAUCAAAAGCGCCGAAGAACAUGAAUGGAAAAAAAUUCAGCGGUGAACAGAUUCGUGUAGAUUAUCUCAGGAGCAAGGACCGGAGUUCAGGGAAAUGAGGGAUGGACUGUAUCCCAAUAGGAGCAUUGGCUAUCCUGACACUCAGCAUAUGCCUCAAGAUUUUGUAAGGAACUACUCUGAUCCUAUGCAGGGUGGUCUCCUUGGGUGCCUCCUCAAUCAUGUCCUCCACAAGGUCCUCAGGCUCUAUAAUCUCAUUAACGAGAAGGGAAAAUUUUGUAAGCUGCUUCUUGCUCUUAACUAUUUCCCUCUGCACCUUCAUUUGCAUGUUUGGACUUCCUUUUCUUGCUAAAUGCAAGUCAUCCCUAUCAGUCUUGUCCUGGCACUGGACUGAGAGGAAACUACAAACAUUUCAACUGCCCAAAUGGUUACUACAUAGAUCUGGCCACUCUGAUCCUUACAACAAAGGAGGACGCGAUCAGAAACAUUAAAGUUGAUUGAUCACACUAUGAAAAAAUGGAUAUGCUAUUGUAGAAUUUAUAAAUAGCCUAUGUACCAAUGUAAAUAGGCAACAAUCAAUAUGAUAUGUGAAUGUCUUGCGAGCAUUCAGUAGUAUGAUAUUUCUAUGGUUUUAUAAAACAUACAUUUGAGAUCUUAUGAUAUGUUCAUUGUGAUGAUAUUGUUAAAUAUUCAAAUGUAUUUAUAUAUGCGACAGUUAGUUUA